GAUGAACGCUGGCGGCGUGCCUAAUACAUGCAAGUCGAGCGAACAGACGGGGAGCUUGCUCCUCUGACGUUAGCGGCGGACGGGUGAGUAACACGUGGAUAACCUACCUAUAAGACUGGGAUAACUUCGGGAAACCGGAGCUAAUACCGGAUAAUAUAUUGAACCGCAUGGUUCAAUAGUGAAAGACGGUUUUGCUGUCACUUAUAGAUGGAUCCGCGCCGCAUUAGCUAGUUGGUAAGGUAACGGCUUACCAAGGCAACGAUGCGUAGCCGACCUGAGAGGGUGAUCGGCCACACUGGAACUGAGACACGGUCCAGACUCCUACGGGAGGCAGCAGUAGGGAAUCUUCCGCAAUGGGCGAAAGCUUGACGGAGCAACGCCGCGUGAGUGAUGAAGGUCUUCGGAUCGUAAAACUCUGUUACUAGGGAAGAACAAAUGUGUAAGUAACUAUGCACGUCUUGACGGUACCUAAUCAGAAAGCCACGGCUAACUACGUG
This 497-nucleotide ribosomal RNA is filed under the name uncultured bacterium. RNAcentral's name for it is "partial 16S ribosomal RNA". It matches the Rfam family "Bacterial small subunit ribosomal RNA", at positions 28 to 507 of the family's 1533-position model. The record is from RNAcentral.